RNAcentral lists this non-coding RNA (95 nucleotides) under Frondihabitans sp. PAMC 28766. RNAcentral's name for it is "Glycine riboswitch aptamer". It matches the Rfam family "Glycine riboswitch aptamer". Rfam says of the family: This family represents the bacterial glycine riboswitch. Glycine riboswitches usually consist of two metabolite-binding aptamers domains with similar structures in tandem. Lineage: Bacteria; Bacillati; Actinomycetota; Actinomycetes; Micrococcales; Microbacteriaceae. RNAcentral also lists the same sequence under 1 other name. The record is from Rfam by way of RNAcentral.
GAACACAACGCGGGAGAGCGCACGACCCCCGGGUCGGCCACCGAAGGAGCAAGCUUCCCCGCCAAUCUCUCAGGUAGACGUACCGCGUCGUGUCG